CAGCGCUAAUCCACUCUCCAGAACCCAGAGGGCACACGAAAGCGAGUCCUGGCCAAUCUGAAUCAACGCUGGAACUGUGGCUGGGCACAAGGAGCUCUCUUUACAUGGCUGUUGUUCAGCUGUAGGAUGGAGUCUGGAGAUCGACUUCCUGGCUUUUCAGUGCGUGUAAGCCAAUCAUGUAAGACCCAAGGAGCAGGUCUCGUAGGAUGUGAUGACUCCUGCAGGAGGCAGGUAAGAGGAUAUCUGAGCAGGCAGAUGACAAGGGAUGAGAGUGUUAAUGCUAAAAUAACUGGCAGUGAAAGACAUUUCAGGCAGGUGGUCCUACUUGAAUUCCCCCUUCCAAACACAUCUGUGGUGCAGUGUGUCCUAUUCCUGGAGCCAGGCCUGACCUGCCCAGCCUGCCUUGCCCAUCACCCCCAUCUCCAGGCUUUUGCUAGGAGCUCUGGACUCAGAAGCCCAGGCCAGCUUUGGCAUCGCAUUGCCUGGGCACCUCCCUGCUUCCAGGCUGGAGGCCCAAGGAGAGAGGAGGCUAUGGCCCGGGGCUGAGGACAACAGCCGGGGCCCAAGGCUGUUUAUGGAAAAGCCACAGCUCCAUUGUAUAGACCUGUAGACAGAAGGGUAAACUCAGAGGAAAUGAGUUGCCUCCAUGCACACGCUGAUAGCCAGGUGCUCUGUCUACCCCGCCAGGCCCAAACUGGGUUCCCCAAGACAGUGACCAACCUUCCCGGUUUGAUAAGGACUGAAGGGGUUUCAGGACAUCAGCCAACCAGGAUGAGUCUGAUCGCCUAUUCCCAGAGGUUUCCAGAGCGUGCGUUGGGACAGGCAGGAGUGGUAGGGUGGGAGUCCUGGGAUGCCAGGUCGGGAUGGGAAUCCCCCUGCCUCCGGGAAGCAUGGGGUCUGCUCCCAGGGCUGCUUUCCCAGAAGCCAGAGCACCCUCGCCCCUGCAGGGCUUAGAGGGGGAGUACUGAGAAGGAGGGAUGGAAGAAUCUAGGCAUGAGUAUGCAUGCAUAUGUCUGUGUGUGUAGAGAUCUCGUGGGUGUAUGUGUGCGUGCGCGCACGCCUAUGUGUGAGUGGUCGUAUGAGCGGCCAAAUGAGAGGCAAUGCCCGAUGUGAACCUGCUGGGUAUGAAACGUGAGAACUGUGAUAAUCACCUGUGGACUCCGUGGGCCAGGGCUGAGUCCCUGAGGGGGCAGGUGUCUGCGUGUGAGGGGAGGGCAGGGUGGGAGUCCCCUUUGCAUCUAUGAAUCUGCCGUGCAUGUGCGCUGCGGGUGGAAGUGGAGCAGUGGGAGGUGUGUGUGGUGACUUACCUGCUGCCUAUGGGAACUGGUUCUGUGUGGUCAUUCUGUGAGUCUGUGUCGGCUCUGGAGGUUGUGAUGGGAAGUAUCGCUGUCUUCGUGACUCUGGGGCGUAUGGAUGAGCACUGGGUGUGUGCGCAGGGGAGGAACCCGCUGCCUGUGGAAUCCACGUGUGGGUCGAGGGCCUGUGGGCUGGGCAGCAAGUGCCCACAGUGAUGUGAAAAUACGGUGUCAAGUGUGAGCCCAUUGACUGGAUGGACAAAGCUGUCCCUCCACACUUAGGCCCAGCAUUGUCUCCCUCAUUGUCUGCCCUGAGAGCAGCAGGAGUUCCCGUCCCAGGGCUCACAUUGUCCUCAGUUAAUUUCAGUUAAUCCUGGUUAAUAUCCCUGCCUGGGGGAAUUUAAUGUGCUCCUUCGGGCUUCUUCCCCAUUAGACCUUCUCAGAGUUAAGGAAGCAGCAGACUGCUUGGCAGCACAAAGCCCCUGGGCCACAUUUGCCACUGUUUUUUAGAAGGAAAAUUGCUGGCAACACUUCCAUCCUCCGCUUCCAGAGACAGCGGCUUUCCACACAGAUGUGUCUUCAUGCCAAGGCGGACGCCUGGGAGCACCCGACGCUUCCUCGGCAUUGCCAUAAAUCUGGGGAAUGUUAGAAUGAUAGAGCCAUGUGGCCCAAUUGCAAAAGGCAGGGGCGGGGGGAUCUCCCUGAGCCUUUGUGAGAGGCUGAGAGGAAGCAAGGCAGGGAGGAGAUAGGAGGAGGAGGAGGGCAGGCAGGGAAGGAACGUCAGGAAAAAAGAGGAGGCAGGCAGAGGGGGCGCCCUGUCUGGCAACAGAGUGACAUGGCUGAGUGCUGAGCCUCUAGCAAGGGUCUGGAACUAGGACUUGUUGGGAAUGUGCUGUGAGCCUGAGGAAGGAGGGGGACAGGAAAAAGCCCAUAGGAGAGGAGGGGUCCAUAAGCUCUGCCAGGAAGCUACCACCAGGAGAGGAUAGGGGAGGAGUCUCUCUCACCCAUGCCCCUUUUGUGACUCCCAGAUCUUCUCACCUGUGAGUUGUCAGGUUAGAAGUAAAAGCCUCACUGACUUAAGUGAGUCACUUAAACUGCUUUAGACUCCACCAGGCACCAGCCCUACUCAUUCCUGAAUCCCUCAUCCCAGCCAGAGAUGGACCUCAGCAGAGAAAGGGUCUCACCCUUCCUGCCAACCUGAGAGGGUUGGCUAACACUGGGGGCAGACAGUGCUUACUGGACCACACCUUUUAAAACACAAAGCCUGCCAUGGUCGACAGGGCCACUCCCCCAACACAAUUGCCAAGCUGCUGGGCAAAGCGUUGCCAAAUGACUUUCUCCCCAUAAAGUCCGUUGGGGGAAACUCGGAGGAGAUAAAUUUCCUCUCAGUAUGCCAAUGGAUUGACUCAGGCUAGCUUCCCAGUGGUCCAUAAAAUAAUAGCAACAUUUAUUGGGUUCUUGAUUUUGUGCCAAGUGCUAUUAAGUAGACCUUAAGGAGAAACGCUAUUAGCAUCUCCAUUUCUUAGAAGAGAGAGGGCAAGUAACUCUGUCAGCUCACAUAUACUGGGAAACCCCGGGGCCAAGAUUGGAACCCAAGCAGUUUACCACCAGACCCCUGCCACAGGUGACCCUGCCUCUUGAGAAAAAGUAGUUUUUGAUACCGGUGGGAGGGGGGUUAAGGAGAGUCCCCAGGAAGCUGAGCCACAGAGCAGGCACUCUUGGAAGACUUGAGCCCCAGAGUGGGCUCCCUGAGACAGCACCGCCAGGAUUUUGGAAAAGUCAGGUGCAGUAGGAAUAGUCCUAGAGGGAGAGAGCUUGGCCUGUAGAGUUGUAUCUGCAGGAUAGGAGACUAAGGAAGGACCAAAACCCCGGGGGAUGAGGGCUUGGGCCUGGGUUGACUGGCCAGUCAGUGCCUCCAGAGCAGCAGCUGUCCACAGAGCUAACCCAGGUGGACCUCACUGCAGCCUGUCACUGGCGCCCCAAAGGUCCCUCGCUCUGUAGGCAAACCUGGUGUUCCAACAAGUUGCAGAGCCUGCACCCGUCGGGAGAGGGCUCCAGGGCUGGGGACCAAAAAAGCUAUGAUCUCCCAGACAGGUCUUUGGAGGAAGAGCUAGAGAGUCCUUGGGUGAUGAUAGAAAAAAAAAAAAAAAUUCCCAGCACCAUUGUUUUACUUGAGGCUAUCCUGAGAUUCUGCCAUAUUAGUAUACAGAGGCCCUCCUUACACUUUUCCACAGCUGCAUAGUAUUCUGGUGUGUGGACAUCCCAUAAUUUAUUUAGCCAGAUCCGUCUUAGUGAACAUUUAGGUUGUUUCCUGUCAAGUUGUAGGAUAAGUUCCUAGAUAUAGCAGUACCAACUAGAAGAGUGCAGGCCUUUAUCCUUUCACUAGAUGUUGCCACCAAGCCCUCCACAGAACGUUGGGCCAGUUUCUCCUCCCUGACUCGCCAACAGCAUUAGCAAACAUUUUGGUCUUUUGCAAACAGACAGGUGAAAUACGGAGUCUCAGCGUAGCUUGAAUUCUCAUUGCUCUUAUUAGAAGGUGGAUGAGCACCUUUCUACGUUUAAGAGUCAGUGGUAUUUUGUGUGGGGUUUCCAUCUGUCCCUUCAAGGAACUUUAUUAUUUAUUUUGUUUUUCUUUCUUUCUUUUUAGAAAUGGGAGCCAAAUCCAUUGGUGUAGAUGAUGAAAUUCUAGGCAACCAUUAAAAAUGAUGAAUACUAAUAAAAGUAAUUAUAAAAUGCAUGGAGGGCACACUAUGUACCAGGCCCAGUUCUGAGCACUUCUCACAAAACGACUUCUUUAAUCCUCACAGUAUCUUCAUUUGACAUGUGAGGAAAUUGAGGCACAGGGAACUUGCGCAAGGUCACACAGCUAGUAAGAUGCCUGUGACAUAUUGUUAACAGAAAAAAGCGUGUAAGAAAAUAGUACAUGUAACUAAUCUGUGUAACUUUAGAUAUAUACUUUUGUAAAUAGAUACUUCAUUUUAGCACAAUUAGUCUUACGAUACUUUCUAAAAUGUGGAAAAGAAUGUUUAUUUUUCUAAUACUGAUUCGAGUUUUGUUUCCAUAUUGAUUCUUUCCUUACUUGUUGAUUUCACAAGAGAAUAAAUUAUUCCACAUACUUAAAAAAAACUGUAGUAUGACUUCAUUUUUUAAAAUUUAAAAACAGAUGCAUGCAUCCACCCAUGCACACAUGUAUGUACCACAGAAGAUAUGUAUCAGUGGUUCUUUCUAGGUCAUGGUAUUGGAGAUGAAUUUUAUUUAUUGAUUUAUUUAAGACAGGGUUUUGCUCUGUUCCCCUGGCUGGAGUGCAGUGUGCAAUCAUGAUUCACUGCAGCCUUGACCUCCCAGGCUCAAGCAAUCCUCCCACCUCAGCCUCCCGAGUGGCUGAGACUAUAGGUGCAUGCCCCACACCCAGCUAAUUUUUGUAGUUUUUGUGGAGACAGGGUUUCACCAUGUUGUCCAGGCUGGUCUCAAACCCCUGGGCUCAUGCAAUCCAUCCACCUUGGCCUCCCAAAGUGUUGGGAUGACAGGCGUGAGCCAUUGCACCCAACCUCCAUUUUAAUUUACUUUCGUUUUUCCACAG
This 4875-nucleotide long non-coding RNA is filed under the name Papio anubis (olive baboon). RNAcentral's name for it is "lncRNA (ENSPANG00000037667.1)". Lineage: Eukaryota; Metazoa; Chordata; Mammalia; Primates; Cercopithecidae. The record is from RNAcentral.